AUUGAGUCAUGGUGAAAACAGGGAAGUAGAUGCCCAGAGAGAGAAUGGAGAACAAACAGAGAAGGAAGCCAAGAACAACCUCCAAGGAAAACACAACAUUCAAGGUACACGUAAAAGAAUAGAAGCCAGUAAAGUAGAGAAAGAAGGACAAAUCAGAGAGGAGAAGAGCCAUGAGAUACCUCUCAGAAGCCAUGGUAUUAAACAUCUCCAGUGCCCCAGUUAAGUCAAAUAAGGUGGGAAGUGGAAACUGACGAAGUUUAUUGGACUUGGCGCUUUCGAAGUCACUGGAAAUUACCACCACAGCAAUUUCAGUAGAUUAGCAAGGUGUUGACUAGAGUACCAUUAAGAGUGAUUGAAAGGUAAAGAGAUGAAGACAACAAACAAAGGCUAUUCUUCUAAGAAAUUUAUCAUGAAGAUAAGAAGAAAAGGUGGAAAGCUAGUGAGAAUGCUUUCUCUGAAUCAAAGCCAAGUUCUCCAAACAGAAAUCAAGGCAAAAGAAAAACUUUAUCCAGUUUUAUUGGAGACUCAUAGCAUAGUGUGUCCAAACAGGUGCCAGUCCAAUGAAAAUUUCAAGCUCACCAAUCUGUGAGGCCACCUGGAACAAUAGGCCUGGAGCUCCUAUGCCUGUAUUCUACUGUUUGAUUCUCCUUAUGACAGACAACACUAUUAGAUCGCACAAUACAAACAGGAAGCACAAAAAGAGCAAAAAGAGAUGAAAAGAAAUGACUUGAUUCUACCAAAGAUGUCAAACAGAAAACAAUAAGACAACUUGGCAUCAAACUGUGAAUAAAUAUGCAAGGAACACAACGCACAGGAAACAGAGUUCAGGUCUGUGCAGACUUACAGUGUCAGAAUGGAUUUGACAAGCCAUGAGUAGCAAAGCACAGAGGCCUCUGUGGGCACUGUACGUGGUCAGAGCCUUGGGGCCACAGCAUUAAGCAGUGUAUACUGAAUCUUAGUGGGAUUUCAAAGAAACACAAAUAAACAGAGACUGCCCAGAUGUGAACAAGCAGAGAGUAUAUAUUCAAAGCUUGCUAUGGCAAAGGACUCAGCAUCAUCAUGUGUUUGGGACACACUCAAAGACAGAGGGGGGAAUAAGGAAGUUUUGUAGCAAAAAAAAUAAAGAGAUGGCUUCAGGUA
This 1140-nucleotide long non-coding RNA is filed under the name Homo sapiens (human). RNAcentral describes it as "HSALNT0320289". The record is from RNAcentral. Lineage: Eukaryota; Metazoa; Chordata; Mammalia; Primates; Hominidae.